CGGGAGGAGAAUCCCUCCGUGUGGCCGAC
This 29-nucleotide small RNA is filed under the name Bombyx mori (domestic silkworm). RNAcentral describes it as "ovarian small RNA-14498". Lineage: Eukaryota; Metazoa; Arthropoda; Insecta; Lepidoptera; Bombycidae. The record is from RNAcentral.